GCUGGGCAUGGUGAUGCAUGCCUGCAGUCCCAGCUACUCAGGAGGCUGAGGUGGGAGGAUCCCUUGAGCCCAGAAGUUCAAGGCUGCAAUGAGCCUUUAAGAAGGUGCCAUUGCACUCCAGCCUGGGCCACAGAGGGAGACCCUGUCUCUA
Molecule: non-coding RNA, 151 nt
Filed under: Gorilla gorilla gorilla (western lowland gorilla)
Lineage: Eukaryota; Metazoa; Chordata; Mammalia; Primates; Hominidae
Source: Rfam by way of RNAcentral